Molecule: transfer RNA, 66 nt
Filed under: Neanthes glandicincta
Lineage: Eukaryota; Metazoa; Annelida; Polychaeta; Phyllodocida; Nereididae
Also listed under: 1 other name
Description: tRNA-Ser
Source: RNAcentral
GUACCAUAGUCCGGGACAAGGGGAUUUUGAAAGUCUCCAAUAGUGGUUCGACUCCACUAUGAUACU